GAGCUCAGUCAGUAGAGCAUGAGGUUGAUGAUCUCAUGGUUAUGGGUUCAAGCCCCAUGUUGGGCA
Molecule: non-coding RNA, 66 nt
Organism: Podarcis lilfordi (Lilford's wall lizard)
Lineage: Eukaryota; Metazoa; Chordata; Lepidosauria; Squamata; Lacertidae
Source: the annotation of a GenBank genome assembly